Molecule: transfer RNA, 91 nt
Filed under: Megasphaera micronuciformis
Lineage: Bacteria; Bacillati; Bacillota; Negativicutes; Veillonellales; Veillonellaceae
Description: tRNA-Ser
Rfam family: tRNA
About the family: Transfer RNA (tRNA) molecules are approximately 80 nucleotides in length. Their secondary structure includes four short double-helical elements and three loops (D, anti-codon, and T loops).
Source: RNAcentral
GGAGAGGUGGUAGAGUGGCUUAUUACACUUCCCUGCUAAGGAAGAGUGGAUAAAUACUUCCACCGUGGGUUCGAACCCACCCUCUCCGCCA